AGAUUGAACGCUGGCGGAAUGCUUUACACAUGCAAGUCGAACGGCAGCACGGGGGCAACCCUGGUGGCGAGUGGCGAACGGGUGAGUAAUACAUCGGAACGUGCCCAGUCGUGGGGGAUAACUACGCGAAAGCGUAGCUAAUACCGCAUACGAUCUACGGAUGAAAGCGGGGGAUCGCAAGACCUCGCGCGAUUGGAGCGGCCGAUGGCAGAUUAGGUGGUUGGUGGGGUAAAGGCUCACCAAGCCGUCGAUCUGUAGCUGGUCUGAGAGGACGACCAGCCACACUGGGACUGAGACACGGCCCAGACUCCUACGGGAGGCAGCAGUGGGGGAAUUUUGGACAAUGGGCGCAAGCCUGAUCCAGCCAUUCCGCGUGCAGGAUGAAGGCCCUCGGUUGUAAACUGCUUUUGUACGGAACGAAAAGCCUUCUUCUAAUACAGGAGGUCAUGACGGUACCGUAAGAAUAAGCACCGCUAACUACGUGCCAGCAGCCGCGUAA
This 499-nucleotide ribosomal RNA is filed under the name uncultured soil bacterium. Its description in RNAcentral is "bacterial SSU rRNA". It matches the Rfam family "Bacterial small subunit ribosomal RNA", at positions 26 to 522 of the family's 1533-position model. The record is from RNAcentral.